CAUUCUCAAAAACCAUCUUGGUUUCUUGACCAGGAAGGCUUUUGGACUUUGGAGGCUUUUUGCUGGCUUUCCUUUGUUGGAGCCAGCUCCUCUGAAAUGGAUUAGUAGGGUCUGCUUUGCCGAUCCUUGACGUGAUAAGAUGUUUUCUACGUCUCGGGUUCUGCACUCCUGCUUCUAACUGUCUCACAGAAGACAAAACGGUCAAAGUGAUUGCCACUUUGACCCACGAA
Molecule: unclassified non-coding RNA, 230 nt
Filed under: uncultured Russula
Lineage: Eukaryota; Fungi; Basidiomycota; Agaricomycetes; Russulales; Russulaceae
Description: sequence contains ITS2
Source: RNAcentral